This is a non-coding RNA of Caenorhabditis elegans, 238 nucleotides long. Lineage: Eukaryota; Metazoa; Nematoda; Chromadorea; Rhabditida; Rhabditidae. The record is from Ensembl.
GAAAGUGCAUAAAUGCCGGCACGAAACAAAUAAUCGGAGGACUAGAAUGAAAUAGUUCAUCGAAAAGCAGCAAAGUGGAGAUGAUUUGGAUUCACCACCUCCUCACAAAAGCCUAUGCACGAGGGACCUUCGGAUAUUUUUGGAGCUGGUUAUUUUCCCUUAUUCCUGUCCAUCGAAAGAACUUGAGGAGCUCCAACAAAGGAAGAAGGGGACUUGCUGCACAAUGGAAAAUUUUUAA